Molecule: long non-coding RNA, 791 nt
Filed under: Homo sapiens (human)
Lineage: Eukaryota; Metazoa; Chordata; Mammalia; Primates; Hominidae
Description: HSALNT0252874
Source: RNAcentral
UGGCGGGCUGCAGGUCCCGAGCCCUGCGCCCGCCGGAAGGCAGCUAAGGCCCGGCGAGAAAUCCAUUGCAGCGCCGGUGGGCCGGCACUGCUGGGGGACACGACGCACCCUCCGCAGCUGCUGGCCUGCGCGCUAAGCCCCUCACUGCCUGGGGCCGGCGGGCCGGCCGUCCGCUCAGAGUGCAGGGCCCGGCAAGCCCACGCCCAUCCGGAACUCUAGCUGGCCCGCAAGCGCUGCGCGCAGCCCGUGUUCCCGCCCGAGCCUCUCCCUCCACACCUCCCGGCAAGCUGAGGGAGCUGGCUCCGGCCUCAACCAGCCCAGAGAGGGGCCCCCACAGCGCAGUGGUGGGCUGAAGGGCUCCCUGAGCAUGGCCAGAGCGGAUGCCGAGGCCGAGGAGGCGCCAAGAGCGAGCGAGGGCUGCGAGGACUGCCAGCAAGCUGUCACCUCUCAAUGGGGAAAAGGCAAUACUUACAUAUGGUGAAACAAAUCCCAACAAUGUUUACCAGUAAUGGAAUGAUCGAGAGGCUGUUGAUCAGAAAACGUAUGGAACUGUAUUUUGGGAAGCUUGAAAUAUUUUCAUCAUUUGACUUGUGGUGCCAUGGUAUAUAAGUAAGUAAAAUGUAUUGAAUUUUACAAUUAAGAUCUGUGCCUUAUACUGUAAGUAAUGUAUCUCAAUGAAAAAGAAAAAAAUCAUUACCUUUAUUUCCUUGUUCUUUAUUACAACUUGAUCUCAUAUCUUUUUGACCAAAGACUUACUGUAUAAGAAUACAUAUUUUAAUAUAGUGCUGAUA